This is a non-coding RNA of Pelobates cultripes (western spadefoot toad), 223 nucleotides long. The record is from the annotation of a GenBank genome assembly. NCBI's taxonomy places the organism in Eukaryota, Metazoa, Chordata, Amphibia, Anura, Pelobatidae.
CGGACAUCUGAUGCUUCCUGAAUAGAAAACAAACAAAAGAAAUCUAACAAGACCUAUCAAAGAAAAAUACUUGAAGUUGCGAUGCCACAUGGAAAACACGGUCUCAGACCCAAGCCACCUGCCAAAUUCACUUCAUCUGUGUGGAUACAGGGCUUUGAAAGUAAAGAGCGAUGUGGAGAUAAAGCCUGCAUAGACAAUGUUAAAGCAAAUUACACAGUACAGC